This is a long non-coding RNA of Ornithodoros turicata, 714 nucleotides long. RefSeq lists it as uncharacterized. The record is from RefSeq and is a predicted model, not a curated record. The transcript is spliced from 3 exons. Lineage: Eukaryota; Metazoa; Arthropoda; Arachnida; Ixodida; Argasidae.
AUCACCAUGGAAAAUACCCUUCGGCUAUUUUCUAAAUAAGGGGCUAUCUGGGGAAGUACUGAAGACACUACUGACAGAAGCCAUCAUGGUGCUAACAAAUUGUGGACUCGAAGUCGUGGCAGUCGUCUGUGACGGGCUAUCGUCUAAUGUUAUGAUGGGGCGACUGCUGGGGUGCCAUAUCCAUGCCAACAACACAGAGGACUUUCGGACAUUUUUCUCCCAUCCUGCUGAUGCUGACAAGAGCAUACACCUAAUUUUUGAUGCUGCACACAGUCUUAAACUGCUCAGGAACCUGUUUGGGGAUCACAAGGUGUUACAGAGCAGCCACUAUGGAACAAUCAGGUGGGCCUUUAUUGAAAGGCUGCAGCAACUCCAAGAGAAGGAGGGCCUCAGAGCAGCAAACAAGCUCACCAGAUCCCAUAUUGAGUUUGGCCGCCAGAUCAUGAAGGUCCGCCUUGCAGCGCAGACUCUAAGUUCAUCCGUGAGCAAAGCCCUGACCCACGCACGGCUCCUGGGAUUGACCGAAUUUGAAGGAAGUGACGCAACCGCUUCGUUCAUUGCCGACGUAGAUGACAUUUGAUUUGCUUAAUUCGCACAGUCCCAUUGGCAAAGGAUUUAAGGCACCACUUCGCAAUGGAACAAUUUCCCAGCAAGGAAAAAGGAUGCUUACAUUGUCGUCAAGAAUGAUGACACUGCGACUUCCAUCCGGGGAGC